This 71-nucleotide transfer RNA is filed under the name Bos taurus (domestic cattle). It matches the Rfam family "tRNA". From Rfam's summary of the family: Transfer RNA (tRNA) molecules are approximately 80 nucleotides in length. Their secondary structure includes four short double-helical elements and three loops (D, anti-codon, and T loops). Lineage: Eukaryota; Metazoa; Chordata; Mammalia; Artiodactyla; Bovidae. The record is from Rfam by way of RNAcentral. RNAcentral also lists the same sequence under 4 other names.
UCCCUGGUGGUCUAAUGGUUAAGAUUCUGCAUUCCAAUGUAGAGACACAGGUUUGAUCCCUGGUCGGGGAA